AUGCAGUCGAACGCGAAGCCUGAUUUCGGUUAGGCGGAGAGUGGCGCACGGGUGAGUAACACAUGGCUGACCUGCCCUCCAGCGGGGGACAACCACUGGAAACGGUGGCUAAUACCCCAUAUGCUCACGGUAUUUAGAAGGCUGUGAGGAAAGCUGAGGCGCUGGAGGAGGGGGCUGUGGCCCAUCAGCUAGUUGGUAGGGUAACGGCCUACCAAGGCGACGACGGGUAGGGGGCCUGAGAGGGUGACCCCCCACACGGGCACUGAGACACGGGCCCGACUCCUACGGGAGGCAGCAGUAAGGGAUAUUGCGACAAUGGGCGAAAGCCUGACGCAGCAACGCCGCGUGCGGGAUGACGGCCUUCGGGUUGUAAACCGCUUUUCGGGGGGAAGAGGAAGGACGGUACCCCCGGAAUAAGUCUCGGCUAACUACGUGCCAGCAGCCGCGGUAAAACGUAGGAGGGGAGCGUUAUCCGGAUUUACUGGGUGUAAAGCGCGUGCAGGCGGUCUUGUAAGUCGUGCGUGAAAGCGCCCGGCUCAACCGGGCGAGGUCGUGCGAAACUGCGAGGCUAGAGGCAGGUAGAGGCGUGCAGAAUUCCGGGUGUAGUGGUGAAAUGCGUAGAUAUCCGGAGGAAUACCAGUGGCGAAGGCGGCGCGCUGGGCCUGACCUGACGCUAAGACGCGAAAGCAUGGGUAGCGAACGGGAUUAGAAACCCCGGUAGUCCAUGCCGUAAACGAUGCGUACUAGGUGUUGCGGACGUUAAGUCGGCAGUGCCGAAGC
This 780-nucleotide ribosomal RNA is filed under the name uncultured bacterium. RNAcentral's name for it is "bacterial SSU rRNA". It matches the Rfam family "Bacterial small subunit ribosomal RNA", at positions 55 to 852 of the family's 1533-position model. The record is from RNAcentral.